GGUGGAGUAUGUGGUUUAAUUCGACGCAACGCGAAGAACCUUACCAGGUCUUGACAUUGAUGGACAGAACUAGAGAUAGUUCCUCUUCUUCGGAAGCCAGAAAACAGGUGGUGCACGGUUGUCGUCAGCUCGUGUCGUGAGAUGUUGGGUUAAGUCCCGCAACGAGCGCAACCCUCGUUCUAUGUUGCCAGCACGUUAUGGUGGGGACUCAUAGGAGACUGCCGGGGUCAACUCGGAGGAAGGUGGGGAUGACGUCAAAUCAUCAUGCCCCUUAUGUCUUGGGCUUCACGCAUGCUACAAUGGCCGGUACAGAGGGUUGCGAUACUGUGAGGUGGAGCUAAUCCCUAAAAGCCGGUCUCAGUUCGGAUUGGGGUCUGCAACUCGACCCCAUGAAGUCGGAGUCGCUAGUAAUCGCAGAUCAGCAACGCUGCGGUGAAUACGUUCCC
This 446-nucleotide ribosomal RNA is filed under the name Vibrio cholerae. Its description in RNAcentral is "bacterial SSU rRNA". It matches the Rfam family "Bacterial small subunit ribosomal RNA", at positions 931 to 1375 of the family's 1533-position model. The record is from RNAcentral. Lineage: Bacteria; Pseudomonadati; Pseudomonadota; Gammaproteobacteria; Vibrionales; Vibrionaceae.